GAUGAACGCUGGCGGCGUGCUUAAUACAUGCAAGUCGAGCGAACAGAUAAGGAGCUUGCUCCUUGGACGUUAGCGGCGGACGUGUGUGACACACGAGGAUACCCUACUUAAAAUACUGGGAAAACUUCGGAAAACCGGCGCAAAUCCCGGAUAAUAUUCCGAUCCGCAUGGUUGGAUGGAAAAAGUUGGUUUUGCUGUAUCUUAUAGAUGGACCUGCGCCGUAUGAGCUGGUUGUGGGGGUAACGGCUUAUCAAGGCGACGAUACGUAGCCGACCGGAGAGGGGGAUCGGCGACACGGGAGCUGGGCCGGGGACCAGGCUACUAAGAGAGGCAGCAGUAGGGAACCUGCCGCAAUGGGCGAAAGUCUGACGGAGCAACGCCGCGCGAGUGAUGGAGAUCUUCCGUUCGUAAAACUCGGUUAUUAGUUAAGAACAGAUGUGUAAGUAAAUGUGCACUGCUUGACGGUACCGAAUCAGAAAGCCACGGCUAACUACGUG
RNAcentral lists this ribosomal RNA (497 nucleotides) under uncultured bacterium. RNAcentral's name for it is "partial 16S ribosomal RNA". It matches the Rfam family "Bacterial small subunit ribosomal RNA", at positions 28 to 507 of the family's 1533-position model. The record is from RNAcentral.